GAUGAACGCUAGCGGCAGGCUUAACACAUGCAAGUCGAGGGGUAACAGAGAAAAGCUUGCUUUUUUGCUGACGACCGGCGAACGGGUGCGUAACGCGUAUAGAAUCUGCCUUGUACAGGAGGAUAGCCUUUAGAAAUGAAGAUUAAUACUCCAUAAUAUUGGGAAGUGGCAUCACUAUCUAAUUAAAGAUUUAUCGGUACAAGAUGACUAUGCGUCCUAUUAGCUAGAUGGUAAGGUAACGGCUUACCAUGGCAACGAUAGGUAGGGGGUCUGAGAGGAUUAUCCCCCACACUGGUACUGAGACACGGACCAGACUCCUACGGGAGGCAGCAGUGAGGAAUAUUGGUCAAUGGAGGCAACUCUGAACCAGCCAUGCCGCGUGCAGGAAGACUGCCCUAUGGGUUGUAAACUGCUUUUAUACGGGAAGAAACUUACUCACGUGUGGGUAACUGACGGUACCGUAAGAAUAAGCACCGGCUAACUCCG
This 486-nucleotide ribosomal RNA is filed under the name uncultured Tenacibaculum sp. RNAcentral's name for it is "bacterial SSU rRNA". It matches the Rfam family "Bacterial small subunit ribosomal RNA", at positions 28 to 505 of the family's 1533-position model. Lineage: Bacteria; Pseudomonadati; Bacteroidota; Flavobacteriia; Flavobacteriales; Flavobacteriaceae. The record is from RNAcentral.